UGGGGAAUAUUGGACAAUGGGCGCAAGCCUGAUCCAGCAAUGCCGCGUGUGUGAAGAAGGCCUUCGGGUUGUAAAGCACUUUUAUCAGGAGCGAAACGCUGUCGGCUAAUACCCGGCGGAACUGACGGUACCUGAGGAAUAAGCACCGGCUAACUUCGUGCCAGCAGCCGCGGUAAUACGAAGGGUGCAAGCGUUAAUCGGAAUUACUGGGCGUAAAGCGUGCGUAGGCGGUUUCUUAAGUCUGCUGUGAAAUCCCCGGGCUCAACCUGGGAAUGGCAGUGGAUACUGGGAGGCUAGAGUGUGUCAGAGGGUGGUGGAAUUCCCGGUGUAGCGGUGAAAUGCGUAGAGAUCGGGAGGAACAUCAGUGGCGAAGGCGGCCACCUGGGACAACACUGACGCUGAGGCACGAAAAGCGUGGGGGAGCAAACAGGAUUAGGAUACCCUGGUAGUCCACGCCCUAAAGCGAUGCGAACUGGAUGUUGGUCUCAACUCGGAGAUCAGUGUCGAAGCUAACGCGUUAAGUUCGCCGCCUGGGGAGUACGGUCGCAAGACUGAAACUCAAAUGAAUUGAC
Molecule: ribosomal RNA, 572 nt
Filed under: uncultured bacterium
Lineage: Bacteria
Description: partial 16S ribosomal RNA
Rfam family: Bacterial small subunit ribosomal RNA
Source: RNAcentral